RNAcentral lists this ribosomal RNA (433 nucleotides) under uncultured bacterium. RNAcentral describes it as "partial 16S ribosomal RNA". It matches the Rfam family "Bacterial small subunit ribosomal RNA", at positions 29 to 507 of the family's 1533-position model. The record is from RNAcentral.
AACGAACGCUGGCGGCAUGCCUAACACAUGCAAGUCGAACGAGACGGCCCGGUCUUUGGGCGGACCGCUACGUAACGCGUGGGGAGCUGCCCUUGGGUUCGCAAUAACUGCCCGAGAGGGAUGCUAAUGCCACAGAAGGUCUUCGGACCAAAGAUUUAUUGCCGUUGGAUGGGCGCGCGUUGGAUUCGGUGGUUGGUAGGGUAAAAGCAUCUCAAGGCGACGAUCCAUAGCUGGUCUGAGAGGAUGAUACGCCAGACUGGGACUCAGACACGGCCUAGAAGGGUACGGAAGGGAGCAGUGGGGAAUACUGGAAGCUGGGGCAAGGCAUGAUCACGCCAUGCCGGGUAAGUGAUGCAGGCGUUAGGGUUGUAAUGCUCUCUUAGCCGAGAUGAUAAUGACGGUACCGGGUGAAUAAGCUCCGGCUAACUACGUG